GACCAAGGAGUCUAGCAUGUGCGCGAGUGAUUGGGACUCUGAUAAACCUAAAGGCGCAAUGAAAGUAAAAGUCCGCCUCGCGCGGACCGAGGGAGGAUGGGACCGUUCUCGAACGGACCCCGCACUCCCGGGGCGUCUCGUUCUCAUCGCGAGAAGAGGCGCACCCAGAGCGUACACGCUGGGACCCGAAAGAUGGUGAACUAUGCCUGGUCAGGACGAAGUCAGGGGAAACCCUGAUGGAGGUCCGUAGCGAUUCUGACGUGCAAAUCGAUCGUCGGAACUGGGUAUAGGGGCGAAAGACUAAUCGAAC
This 310-nucleotide ribosomal RNA is filed under the name Serrophorus seniculus. Its description in RNAcentral is "eukaryotic LSU rRNA". It matches the Rfam family "Eukaryotic large subunit ribosomal RNA", at positions 664 to 940 of the family's 3401-position model. Lineage: Eukaryota; Metazoa; Arthropoda; Insecta; Coleoptera; Scarabaeidae. The record is from RNAcentral.